This 332-nucleotide unclassified non-coding RNA is filed under the name soil metagenome. RNAcentral's name for it is "partial contains 5.8S ribosomal RNA, internal transcribed spacer 2, and large subunit ribosomal RNA". The stretch from base 1 to 120 matches the Rfam family "5.8S ribosomal RNA", at positions 35 to 154 of the family's 154-position model. The record is from RNAcentral.
GAUGAAGAACGUAGCGAAAUGCGAUACGUAAUGUGAAUUGCAGAUUUCAGUGAAUCAUCGAAUCUUUGAACGCACAUUGCGCCCGCUAGUAUUCUGGCGGGCAUGCCUGUUCGAGCGCCAUUUCAACCAUCAAGCCCUAGGCUUGCGUUGGAGCCCUGCGGCUGCCGCAGGCUCCCAAAUCCAGUGGCGGGCUCGUCGUCGUACCGAGUGCAGUAAACAUCCUCGCUCAGGGAACGUGACGGGUUCUUGCCGUGAAACCCCCCACAUAUCAAGGUUGACCUCGGAUCAGGUAGGAAUACCCGCUGAACUUAAGCAUAUCAAUAAGCGGAGGA